CCUACGGGUGGCUGCAGUGAGGAAUAUUGGUCAAUGGGCGCAAGCCUGAACCAGCCAAGUCGCGUGAGGGAAGACGGCCCUACGGGUUGUAAACCUCUUUUGCCGGGGAGCAAGCCUGAGCACGUGUGCCCAGGCGGAGAGUACCCGGAGCAAAAGCAUCGGCUAACUCCGUGCCAGCAGCCGCGGUAAUACGGAGGAGGCGAGCGUUAUCCGGAUUUAUUGGGUUAAAGGGGUGCUCAGGGGGGCUGUUAAGCCGGCGGUAAAAAUUCAGGGCUCAACCCUGUAGGGCCGUCGGGACUGGCAGCCUGGAGUGGGCGAGAAGUAUGCGGAAUGCGUGGUGUAGCGGUGAAAUGCAUAGAUAUCACGCAGAACGCCGAUUGCGAAGGCAGCAUACCGGCGCCCGACUGACGCUGAGGCACGAAAGCGUGGGGAUCGAACAGGAUUAGAUACCCCUGUAGUC
Molecule: ribosomal RNA, 460 nt
Filed under: uncultured bacterium
Lineage: Bacteria
Description: partial 16S ribosomal RNA
Rfam family: Bacterial small subunit ribosomal RNA
Source: RNAcentral